Numida meleagris (helmeted guineafowl) is the source of this 15249-nucleotide long non-coding RNA. RefSeq lists it as uncharacterized. Lineage: Eukaryota; Metazoa; Chordata; Aves; Galliformes; Numididae. The record is from RefSeq and is a predicted model, not a curated record. The transcript has 15 exons.
AAGAGUGGGCAGGAGGGCUGCCAGCCCACGUGCCAGCAGAUGGACAGGUGAAGGCAGGGAUCUAUCUUUCUGCUGCUGCUACAAGGCAUCGAGGCUGUGUGAGAAGGGCUGUCCUUUUCUGGUGGCUUGUCCAACAGGUUUCUUUUAUAUUGGUUUCUCAGUUAUCAGAGAGAAAACCAAACCAGACAGACCAACCAACCACCAAACCCAUGCUGAGGCUGAGGGAGCCCUUCCUCCCUGCCACGUACCCGCACAGCUCUCCUGCCCUGAGCCCGGCCUAGAUUUCUCUCUAACCAUGACAGGUUUUGGUGACCUGUGAUCACCGACCAGCUGAUGUGAGUGUGUGCUCCAGGGAAACUGCUUCCUUUUCAUUCCCUGCUCCUUCCAAAAUUACCCUUGAGUUAAUUUAGAGAGGAGAAUGAUGUCAAGACUCUGGAGGCACCAUAGUAGCAGAAGAAAAAAGUGCGGCUACUCCUGAGCUUUGCUGGAGUGAGCACACAGGUCAUCAGGCCAAUUAGAAGCCAGCCGGGGCUGCGAGGAUUCGUGAAUGCUGGAGACCAAAGGCAGUGUAUGGAAAAUAAGAUUUAUAUAUAUAUAUAUAUUUAUUUGUUGUGCUUUUCAGAGGAAUAAUUUUUAAUAGCUUUUUAGUUUUUCCUAUUUAGUUUUAUUUUGUUUUGCUCACAUUUUUCUAUUUUUUUUGCAAAUCUACCAUGAAAUGCAGAAGAAGGAUGCUCUGGGGUGAGAGAGUACAAAGGUGUCUCACUGCAGACUUCAAACAAACUCUGCCAUGAGUAAAUCCAUAUCAAAUUCAUGUAAAAUUGAGUUGCCUAGCACGCUUUUGAUGUUCCUGAAUUACUGCACAAAAACGUUCAGCAGAGAUUAUCUAUUAAGAUUUUUAGCUCAGUCAAGCCUCCCUUUAACCAGACAAAAACACUUCACCCUGGGUGAGCCCAGCUGACAGCUCUCAUCCCGCUGGUACAGAAUGGAUUGACUGGUGCCUUUCUUGGCAGUGCUGUUCUGAUCAUGUCCAGCACAGAGCCGAGCAUGGCCAGCAGGGCAGCUCCGGGGCACAGGGCUCACCCCCCGGCUGGGGUGGGGAAAUGUGCAGUCACCGAGUUCAUUUCGGUUCUCCAGCAGACAGGCGUGGAGGUGCUGGACUGGCACGGGAUGUCUUCCCAUGGCAAAAUGAAGGCACUGCUGGGUAUUUGCGUUCUGACUGCUUCUUUUCCUUGCUUUAUUGAUGAAAAAAGUAACAGAGUGGGCUUGACCUUCUGUAUUUAGAAGGGAAAAUCGACGCAAUGUAGAACGUUGAUAAUUUCUGACGUACUAUUUCUGAUAUGUUCAUUCUAACAGAUUGUGAUUAACUUCAUUUACUAUCAGCACUUGUGUGUGCGUGUGGGAAGAUCUCGCAGACAUCCCUCCCCCACAGAGGACAGGUGGGAGCUCAGUUCAGACCUGAAAUAACUCUUUGAAGGUGAACUGAUGCCUGUAAACCAAAACCCAAGGCCCUGCACCAAGGGUGGGUGCCAGUGGGGAUUGUGCAGGUGCUGGGUGGCAAAUGGACACAGCCUGGGGAGAGAGAAGGAGCUUUCUCCUCUUUGUAAGGGGAAGUGUCAUUUAACACAAGUCCAAGCUGGCUGGCUGAAUUUUGUUUAUGCUUGGAAAAGAGCAACCCCCAAACCAAACUGUGUGAAACUGAGAAGGUUUCAGCCCCAUGGGAUGUCUGGGGGCUUGCAAGCAGACAGCAGCAAGGAGCAGUCACGCAGCAUCACUAACGCUCAGCCGAGCAUGGCACUGUGCUGUGGGCACACCAGUAGUGCUGCAGGGAAAUCAGGGAAGCAGCAGGGCUGGGACCCUGCAGCCCGUGAGCCAUGGUGCCCAUGGUGCAUGGUGCCCACGGCUGGGCCGGCCUGCCGGCUACAGAGCGCACAGAGCUGAGCAGAGUGCUGCGCAUCUCUGACUGCCGCCAGCAGUGGCUCAGCGCCUCGAGGGGCUGCAGCUGCAGGAGGAGAUGCUGGGGGCUGUGGAUCGUGGCAAGCGGGCAGGAGCUCAUGUUGCCAGGCCCAUGGGUUGGUUGGCCAGCCCAGGCUGUGUGUGAUGGUGCUGGCCUGGGCUCUGAGCGGCAAUGGGCAUCUGCAGCCCCCAGCUGACCCCCAGGGCCCUGUGACCGAUAUCCCAGGGGUGCAGGAGAUGCUCUGGGAACUGGGGGCCUGCUGGACCCCCCCCUCCUGCUGUGAUCUGUGACAUUUGUUUCCUUCUGCCUGUGCUGCUCUUGCUCUGUUACAUGGUGCCUUGCCUCGGAGCUUGAAUUAUUGCCUACAUGCAUGGGUAGAGCCUUUGGAAAACAACUGAGCAUGUAAUUAAGAGAGUCAGUGUGUUUUAUGGGGAUAGUGACGAAAGGAAACAGCUUUUCACUUUAGUAAUUGUGAGUGCCUGUCAGAAGAGAUUUGUGGCAGAGGGAGGUCAGUGGGAAGAGAGCUCCCACUGCAGAGAGUGGGCUUCUUCCUCGAGUGCUGGAGCUGCUCAUCAUUUAUCAGCCUUCCGUCUGAAUUCAUCAGACUCGUUGCAGAUGCCAUGUGUGUGCAUUGGCCGGGUGCUCUCCAGGCACGCACAGCCCGCUUUGCAAUCUGAGCUGAAAAAGCCCCUAAACCCAAACCCCGCGGAGCAAUCUGGAUGGGGGAGUGUCAGCGGGUCGAGCACAGCCCGGAGUGCUGGUGCCAGCUCACUUCUGUAAGGGCAGAUUGCCAUCGUGCAGUGGCCUGGGUUCUUCCAGACAGGAAGAGCAAGGGAGGAUUUUGCUGAUACUUGGAUUGUUGCACUCUGCAGAUAGUUCUAAUCAAGCGGCACAUUAAUGCAUCUCUUGUUUUCCAGUAAGUCAUUAGUCGCUUAAGUGAAGUUGCUCAUGUCAGUUUUCCCUUUCAUUAAAUAUUCAUAUUUACUAAUGGAAAUUGUCUUGACAAAUUGGUCAAACUGAGCAACUUAGGAAUUUACGCCGCAGACUAAAAAAAGUUGUUUGGAACUCCCAGUGAGCCGAAGUAACGCUUGAAAUCAUUAACACUUCAUUGAUUUCCUAAUUAAAAAUCCGUAGAGUAAAUAGAGCAUCCUUUAAGUGUGGCGUAGCUGUUCAUCUCGAUGCUUAGUAUUAAUAUUCAUUUUUUUCCGGAGAAUAUCCAUGAGGUUCUAAAGACGCCUUCUGCCGGCGCCGCUCGCCGUCCCUGCGGGCGCUGUGCCGGGCUCCGGGGGCUCCUGGUGCUUUGCAGUGCAGGAGGCGGCCUUGCCGAGCCGGCUGGCUGAGCCAAGGCUGAGCUAACGCCGCCUGAGGCCACAGCAACCAGUGCUCACAAAUGGAUCCCUAUCUCCUCUAAGCAGGCUUACGUGGCCGAAGGCUUAUGAUGAAGUCAGAUGGGGGUAAUCUUUCAUGGAGACUAAUUCAGCCCAUUAACCAAUAACUAAUAGCCCGUAACUAGUUUCACAGAGAAUUGUAUUUUGAUUUGCUGCUCCCAAAGCGUGGCGGCUAGAGAGUCUGAAGAAAAGAGGAGAGCUCUUUAACAUAGAUGCUUUUUUAAAAGCCUUAACUUAUUUUGAUAAUAACCGUGCUGCUACUUAAAAACAAAACAAAUAGGAGGGAACAAAGUCACCCUUCCAUAAAGAAUUUCAUGCUUUGCAUGGAAGUGGCUCCAGCUGGGUCAGCAGCUGCCGUGUGCCUUUAGAUGCACUGCGCCCGGUACCCUGCGCUGCUGCUCGGGCCCAGGAAGGCAUUACAAAGGAUUGGAGAGGCACAACCAGCAGGAGCACAGGACGUGUUGAACUCACCAACUUCAGAUUUCUUGGGAUAAUGAGAGCCUUCUGUUGCUUCAAUAUCAAUCUAUUUUCUGUUCUAAUUAGUCUUCAUCUGCCUAUGAAAUGCGUUCUAGCGGUGAGCUCUCAGCGCAGCAGUGAAGCCCUGCGUGCAGAAAGCAGUGACAAGCAGCACGGAAGCUCUUGGGAGGAGCAUUAACCUUAGGGCCCAGGACCUGCUGGCCGAUGUUGCACACAAAGACCUGGCUGCAGCUGCUCUAACAGGAUGGCACGCAACUCCAGCCCAAUCUGAUUGAAAACAUCCUAUUUUUAGCAUCCUUAACUAUCACAGAUUUAAGUAGAAAUGCCUGGUUUCAAAACCAGACGACAGAGCAGUGUGAUUCUUCUCUGCUCAAAGAACCCUUUGCUUCUAAUUGCUGCCGAACCAAGUGUGCGGUUUUGUGAAGGGAGAUGCUGACUUCACAGGGAGCCUGUGAGCGUGGGGCUGCAGCCGGUGCCUGUGUGCAGCGGGAGCACCACUGCCCCCGCCCCGCAUGCAGGUAAUGAACAGGCGUGAGCCGUGAGCACGUGCCCUGCGUGGCAUUUCACAGCUGGAGCGCUCUGCCUCUCGUGGCUGGCGGCUCGGGAGCUUUGGCUGUUGGCAGCAAUGCCGGGCUGCGAUGCGAGCUGCCUGCAGACUGACGUGCCCACAGCUGCACAGAUGUCCGCGGGACUGGCGCUUCAACUGAGCAGGAGAUUUUCCUUUAAGGAAUUCACAUUUGAUGCUGUGUAACAUAGGACUGGAGGGCAAAGCAUUUAGCGGCGAGAUGGAUGAUUAUUGUUUUAAAUGAGUUCACAAUUAUUUGAUGGAGUGGAAAACAAAAAAAUGUUUUUCUGGCAUGUGAUCUUUUCUGUGCUUUUUUUUUUUUUUUCCCCCUGCCUGAUUUAUGUUUUCUGUCAAACACUUCCAUGCACACGUGCCCCUGUCCCAGCACCUCGCUCCCGCUGUGCCCGCAAGCUGCACUCCCUGGCGCAGGCGGGAUCGCUGCGGGUGCUGCUGAGCGGCCACGUCCCAGGGGAGCUCCCAGCUGAGGGGACUGAGCCGCGAGCGACUCGUCCCAGAGGAGAUGUCAGGAGACGUUCACUGGAGAAAGUGCCUCUCUUUGAGGAAGAGCACUGGCUCAAUGCCCGCCUUGAGGGGUAGGAGCACGUGCUGAUGGAAACGGAGCUCUGCAGUGUAACACAGGAGCAGCUGCCCUGGGAGCUGUCCUUCCUCUGGCUCCUGAGCUGAAGCUGGGCCUUGCUGCUUGUUUUAUCAGCUGCAGCAGACGCGUUGCCUUGCUCUGGGUUCCAUCACUCAGUGAAGUGGAAGCAGCAUUGCCCAGCCCCGCAUGGAGCAGCCCCGCGUUGCCUCCCAGCAACCAAAACCCCUGCUUGGCAGACCCUGUGGAAAGCAUCAGGCCAGGCAAAAACAGCAUAUACAGAAUGAAAGAUGCUCCAGGCUCUUCCUCGGCUCCACGAUAAUGAACACACACCCAGCCAGGCAAGCAGAUAGUGCUGCUCCUGCCCGGCCUCGCUCCUGGGGGCGGCUCAGUGCGUCGGAGCCGGGGCUGACCCAAGGAGCUGCGGACGGCGCCUGGUGGAGCAGGAGAAGCCCCAGUGCAGCAGUAACAGCAAGUGACCAAGCUUGUGUGGGUUGCAAGGGCAGCCUUUGCAACACCUACAAACAAACCAUCAGUUGUUUGUCCUGCAAGACGCAAAGAGGGAGCGAGGCUUUGCUGCUGCUUGCUGGAGCUGAAGUGUUGAAGACAUAAAUCCAUACAAUGGAGGAGCAUCGCAUGGGAAACACUGCCUUCAGGAGAGUUGUAAUGAAAAAUGAAACCCCAGGAAGUGAUCCUGCAUCUUAACAGCUUUGUCAGCAGAUGACUUUUGUUCCAGUGUUCUGGGGCCAUUUUUCUUGAACUGCCAUUGUAACGGAUGGAGAAUUUUUACGUGCUCGGUGUGAGCUGCUCAGAUCCAAAGCCAUUCUGGAAAUAGUCUGACAGCCAUUUUACUGGCAAGGAAGCUAUUUAAAUGUGCAGCCUGUGCGGGAGAUGAACCGGCUGCCCCGUGUGAUGGCAAGCGGAAGCUGAUGGAUUCUGCUCGGGCCACCAGGUGACCUUUCUGCUUUCCAUUCUAAUUACUUUCCUGUCAGAUGUUCAAUUAGAGUGACGGGGUCCCAAAUUCCCAAAGAUCUCUGUUUUGUCUCAGAAGAUUAAAGGGUGGCAACUAUUUUCGAUAUGAUUAUCAUCAUUAUCUCUGGGAGAUUUUAUACUUCAGAAGUCAAAGUCAUAAUAGCCUGGCUCACUGCAAUUAUUUGCAAAUUGCCUUAAUGUAUUUUCCAGAAGCUCUUUCUGCACUUUGUAAUUUAUUUAUUUGCUAAGCCAAUAGCACAUUAAAACGCUAAAAUGUCUCUGAACCUAUAUGAAGCCUGUCUGAUGGUAACUGGCAUGGACGUUGCCAACAUCCCCUUCGCCACCAGCAGCCCUCGAUGCGUUUUGUUGGAAUGCCUCCCGUGGGGACUCUCUUGCUCUCACUGGUAAAAUACCAUGACUAAUUACUCCCCUUUUGCCUUUCUUUUUUUUCUUUUUGGUGAUGUUGCAGUAGUUCUCCAUGCUGGUGGAGAUGUUAGUGAAAAUACAUAUACAAACCAAUGCAGGAAAAUAUCUACAUUCACAAAAAAUAGCCUCUCAAAACACGCCCCGUCCCUUGACGCAGGUUUCAGUGGUGGAGGUGUGGAAUGGGAGCAGCAGCACUCAGGGAACCUCCAGCAGGGCUCUGCUGAAUGCUUCCAAUAUCCUGGCUGUGUCUGUGCCCUUUCUUCUCAUUUCUGAUGGGGAGCGGGGAGAAAAGAGACAAUGUGUCCUGUGUGUUAAAUGGAAACUAACCCAAAUAGCUUCUAAAAUACGCUUGGCUAAUUGUUCAGGAGUAAUUUACAGACCGAGAGUUACAUUGUAAUAAUUGUGAAUAAUGACUAAACCACGAAAAAAGGUAGAUGGCUUGCAGACAUUUUGUGAACAGAAAAUGAGGCUAAACUCAUUGAAUAAAUUAAUUGCAAUGGAUUAUUCCCUCGGCUUUAAUCUGCUGCCUGCUGAAAGAAAUCUGUGCAAACAGAAAAGCCGGUCCAUAGCUCUCAUUUUGAAAUGUGGCUGCUUUGCACUGAAUAGGAGAGAAAAGAGGCCUGAAAGGCUUUUUGCUGCGUUAUAAUAAUGUAUCAUGCUUGUAACACAAUUUUCACCUUCAGAGUUUUACCUGCCCUUUGGGAUGGGGCAGUUUUAUAAUCCCAUUUUAUUAGCAAGAAGCAGAUGGAGAGCCUGCAGGGAGGAGAGGUGAUUUCUCCCAAGGCCACACAUUGUCUCUUUGGCAGAAUUGGAGCUGGAGCUUGGGAUUUUGCAGUCCCUGGCUGAUGCUUAUGAAAUUCUUCUGUUUGAAGGCUUCGCUUUCCUGCAGAAACACGCAUACUGGGAGAUGAGCAAAACAACCCUAAGCUGAUUUGGGGCUUUGCCAAUGAAAAUUCAGAGGAAAGAAGAAAUGAGAAGACAAGUCCUCCAGUCCUCCAUUUUAGAAGAUCAAUCCUGCUCCUUUUCUUUCUGCGUGGGCCCUCCAGCUCCUCCAGGAGCAUUUACUGCAUCGCUGCAGCGUCUGUGCUCAUGUCCUGCAUACAGGCACGUGGAGAAUGGGCUAUUGCACUUUGGUCUUUGAUCUGCUCAGAUCUUGCAAGCUGAGUGGGCUGGAAGUCGGACAGUGUUUGGGUAAGAGAUACACAGGAAUUCCAUGAUGCUGAGAGGAAUUGCUUGGGACGGAAGAUGGCAGUUUCUGCUUGGAGUCAGUGCUGAACGAGUACCCUGGUGCAGGGGGUGUGGAAUGCUGCAGGCUCCAGCUGCAGAGGAGGUGCAAAACACAUCCUACGAACCUCGGAGUGAAUGUCUCGGCCAAGAUCGAAUAGGGUAAACCUGGGCUGAACCGAACACUGGCUUUUUUCCAGAUAUGUUUGUUUGCACUAUAUCAUCUCACCUAAUCUGUACGGGAAGUGUAUUUAUCCUAGAGCAGUGGGGCAUUUGUACUGCUUGCUUGUCACCAAGAAUAAUGGAGAGGAUAGCAGACGAUCUCCAGAAGCCGCCUCCUGCCUUCGUUUGGUGACCAGCCCUUCUGCAGCACUUCCACAAUUGUCAGGAGUGAUUUGAAUUCUGAUCCUGCCCUCAGAAGUGCCUGCAACCCUUCCAGCUGCAAUCAUCACGACUUGUAUCCGUGUCAUCUGUGCUGCAGCAUCGGAGCCUGUGCAGGAGCGCCCGGGAGCCCUGUUCAGCCGUCCUUCAGCCUCACAGGGGACACUCAGAACACUUCGGUGAUUUUCAAUGUGUUCAUACCCAAUUUAUGUUAAUUUUAUUUAGACUUUGCUUCUUCAGCUUUACUUGUGAGCCUGCAUUAGGGAAUUGUGCACGGCACCUUGCUCAGGCACUGCGCCGUGCCUCCUAUCUCCUCAGCAAUGAACUCAUUUCCCCCUCCCCGCCAUGGCCUCCCCUUCCCUGCCCAAAUCCUCCUGAGGUUUGAUUUCUGUUAUUAUUUAUUUCUUCUUGAGAAAAGUAUAAACUCAUCUUGGCUACGCCUCUCGGGCCUCCGCCUAAUCUUCGAGGUGAUGACAACUUGAUGGAUGAAUAAUAGAUUUCGGUACCUUUGCAGCUGUCUAGGGGAGCUGUGAUUUCUAAAUGCAUCCCUUAAGAUAGGAGCGGCAUUCGUCCUUCUCCAGGAUUUUGUGUUUAAUCCACUCUGUUGUCUUUUCAUUACUGAAACCCUUUUCCAUUGUAAUAUACAACACAAAUAUUCAGUAACUGGCCAUUUACAUUGUGUGAAGUAUGGACCCAAAGUUUUAGGUGUUGCAGAAAUUCUAUAAGUGAUAUUCCUGGUUUGAGAAAACUUAAAUAUUUAGCAGUCAAGGUGGACAGCUGAAAGCAUUGAAAACAAACACAGAAGGAAAGUAAUGGAGUGGUUGAGGCACAGAUCAGUGGAAAACGGAGGUUAAAAAUCACUCUUGGAUUUAUUCCCCAGAAUAAAACUUCACCCUUGCUCCAGUGGCAUUUUUUGAUGGAGUAUGGAAGGUACUGGAAAAUAAAACUGGUCCCUUGAAGACAUUUCCAAUCGAAGAGUAACAUGAAAUAUGAUUUUAUCCUGUUAAAGAUGGGGAUUUUUAAAGUGCAUAAUACUCCAAAUUCUCUAACUUUCUGUUAUUCUAUGCUAUCCUUCCAAUGUGGAAAGUCGGUAUUGAUAUACUUGACGCAUAAUGUUAGCAAAAAAAAGUAUUUGGAGAAAGCUGAAUUUCAUCUUCUUCCUUUCAUCUUCUUCCACUACAGAAUCACAGAAUCCUUAGAGUUGGAAGGGGCCUCUGAGGGCCACCUAGUCUGACUGCCCUGCAAUGUACAGGCGCACCGCAGCUCUGUCAGGCUGCCCAGGGCCUGGUCCAGCCCAGCCUUGAAAGUCUCCAGAGAUGGGGCAUCAACCAAUGUGAAUACAAACAGAAAGUGGUUACCAAUUACUUCCCAUUGAUAGAAGGCAUUAUUUGUCCAUUUAUUUUACUGGAGUGUUUGCUGAAAUUGAAUUUCUUGAUUAAUGAUCUUCAGGAGGCGAAGCUGAAAAGAUCUGCUUGGGUAACCACAAGGAAACUGUGACAGGAUGUGGUGGGUUCUGUGCAGCACCGACCCCAAACCGCUGGUCAGAAAUUAUCACUGAAGAAAUUCUGCUGGAAAUGCAGGCAGCCCCAGGCUGCACGUAGGAAUUCAGCUUUCCUGAACCUUUCUGCAGAGGAGGGGGGGGUGGAGGCAAACAACCACAGCCUGCUUACCGGGCUCACCCAGGCAUGCACACUCGCCUCUCUUCCCAAAUCUGCCUUGUUUGUGGCAUUCCAGGGUCUAUAACUGUCACUGCUGAGGCUGCCUCUCUCGUGCUUCUCUGCCAUUCUCCCUAGUUCUUUACUUCCUGCUCCUCUUGUUCUUCACCCUACAGGUUAUAACUCUGCCCUGCGCUGCUGCUGCCCCACUCUCGUCCUGUGAGCUGCCUUUACUUGCACCUACACGCAGCUGCCAGGCUGCCUCUUCCCCGUUACCCCAGAGCAGUUCUGCCUGUAGGCCCGUGCCAUCCUGAUCAGACAUUUCCCUGCUUCAGCAGGUUCUCUACAUUACAAGCCUUUUCAAGGGUGCCGUGACACCUUAUGCAUCGUAUGGACUGUUUGCUGUGCACAGAUCGCAGUGAAGCCAUCUUUCAGCUUGCUGGGGGCUUUUCCUUGAGCUCACACAUGUCAUAUCACUAACGAGGCCUUGGGGCGGCUCGCAGCCACCACCUCACUCCUUCUCUUUUCCUCGUUUCAACCCUUUUAGGAUUACCGGUGUUACAAGGCCAUAGCAAACCAAAUCUUAUCUGCGCUGGAGAAUUCAUUGAAAAUGAAUGUAUUUUUGUGCAGGAAAGUGAACGCUAUGCAAGUAGAUGAACUGCUUGUGUUUCGCAUAGCAUCUGAUAAACAUCUGCCUCAUAGGUGCAUGGCUUAAUGGGAAAACCAACUGCUAGUUGCACACAGACUUGCUUAAUGUGCCUCGAGUCCAUUUUAACCUCCCCGCAAGAAAACAGAGCUCACCUCCGUACUUAGCUCAUUCCUACCCCUGAUAAAUCCAACUCAAAAAUCUAAUUUGCUGCUGAAAAAACCUUAGCCUGAAAAAGGAGAUUAGUCCUGUUAAGAAGUUUGUGGAAAAUUGUUCACCACAACCUGGGCAGCGAAGUCCUUUGGGGUCCUCCCCGUGACUUGAGUGGGAGUUCAGGCAAACCUUCUGCCACAAAAAUAGCCUGAAUCAAUACUUCGAUUCAUCCUAGGGAAUGGAAAGUGUGAUAAUGUGCUAAAUGCUACUUUGGCUUCUGAUAUACUUUUUACAUUAUAAGAACUGAUGAAGCAUUUAAUGGGAGAAAAGAGAAAAAACAACGAAUCAGGGAGUGUUCCCCUAGGCUGCUGAGUACGUGUGGUGUGAUAAAUAAAAUACCAUUAUUAAUCUCAGCUGGGGGCAAAUGACGGAUUCACAGUAGAAAGAAUAAAAGCCCAUGCAAACAAACCACAACCACUUGGAAAAACAUCUCCGACAUAAAAGCAAAAAUCACGGAUGUUACAUGAAUCUUUGUGGCUAAUGGUCCCAAAUACGGCCAAGCGUUGAGCAAAGUUUUGAAUGCAAUUACUUCUCUUCUUUCCUCUUCCUCGGGUGGCUCUCAGCCAGGUGCGAUGUUCCCCAUUCCCAGCUCAUUUGCUGCACCACUGCUCCCCUCUGCACAGCCCCCAGCCCCUCCCUCGCAUCCUGCUGUGUUCACAGUGCAGGUGCAGAAGCCAGGGCUGCACACUGCCUUCCUGCAGGGACAGAGGUGACGGAGGUCCCCCCUGCCCCUGGGAGCUGUGGGACUAUCCCUGGUGAGGCCCUGCCCUGUGCUGUAUGUCUCUAGAGAGCAGCAUCUUGGGGAGGCCAUCCAGAAGAGGUGCUUAUGCGAUGCUGUGGUCAGAUUGGGCUGAGCAUGUAUAAUUAAUUUCAUCUUAAAUCAAUGUAGAGCAUAAAUAAUGAAGCACCUCUUAAUGGCCCUUGGGCUGGGCAGGGGUUGAGGCAGAUAGCGCAGCACGUGGAAUGGAAGGAGCAGCUCCCCUCGUGUCAGCUCCUUGCAGGGCAGGACUAAGUCAGCCCCACUACUGGCAACUGCUCACACUGCUCUCAGAUCCCUGAAGUUAACUUCCCCCCCGGUUUAACUUACGCCGGUGUUUCAAAAGCAGCCUCCUCUUCAGAAAGAGCACCUAAUUUCUGCAUUACUUUUAACUUUAAUAAAAGAAGGUGCUGCAAAGAGCAAUAGCUGGGGAUGGAAGUUACACUUCCACUGACUCGGGGAUGAACUGCUGCAAAGAGAAACCCCCGGGAGCUGAGGGCUCCCUGUCUGCCUGCAGCCCUCUGGCUGGAGCUCUGGCUGCUGCUGGGAAGGCGCUGGGUAAGCUCUUCCCUCAUUCCUGUUCAGAUAUUACCUCAUAUUUCUGAUCUGAAUUUCACAUGCUGUCUUCUGGGAACUGUGAUACCUUUCUGCUCCGGAAAGACGCCAUUACAAUGAUGUGUUUGCUGCUACCAUUGCUCUCCUGCACCGAGUGCCACGUUUCCUAAUUCCUGAGAUGAAAUGGGGAGGUUUAGCACAAUUGCAUCCGUUAAAACCAACCACCGCUGUGAUGGCAAAGCCCUUCGCAAUACCCCAGAUCUGUAAUUCGCACAUGAAUCCCGAUCAGUUUUCUGUAGCUCGUGGAUGAGAAUGAAACGGAGAUGGCUUGUUCAGCAAAGCGCCUGGCAGCCCGGUGCCCAUCCAUGGGGUGCUCCUCGCCGUGCUCCGGCCCACCCCACUCACCUGGGGCUGCACACAUGGGUGUGAUCCCCUGCAGGAUGUUAUACCACAGCAGAAAAUUCUGUGCUCUGAACAGCCAGAAUCCCACGUCAGAGUGUUGUUAAGCAAAUACAGCAGUUUUCUGAUGGUCAGAUUUACAAGGUGGAUGGAGGCUGGCUGCGGGGGGAGCUGAGCUGUGUGAGCUGCCGGCUCGGUGCUGCUGCUCCUGCUGGCCCUCGAUUCUCUCUCCUGUUUUCCUUGCACGCAGGCAGCCUUCUCUGUAACGAAUGGCCCUGUGCCCACCAUCGCUUCGUUGCAGCAUCAGGAAAAAAACAGAUAGAUGUUGCCAUUUACCUGGGUGGCUGAGAAGCAAUUUCAAGCAAUGGAAGUUUGGGCCCAGUAGCGUUCAUCAUGUCGGCUCCAGGAGAGAAAUUAGUCACAGCGUAAGUAAAUAAUGGAGAAGAUGCAGAAGGCAGAGUGAGGCAGCAUUUUUCUCCACCUUUCGAUUGCUAUGUUGCAGAAGGCAUUGCCACGGAGAAGAGCAAUCUGCAGCAUUGUUGCUUUCCUCUGCAAAAAGAUGGCUGUGGUGUUGGGCAGGUCAAUGUCUGGGAAUGCCUCCUGGUUUUACAGCCAGGAUGCCCUCUGAUUUUAUAAACAAAUCUUUUAGCAGCUUUCAGGGCUUUCCCACAGCUCUGCUGAAGUUGUUGUUUGCAGUCCUGCCUCCUGGUUUCCUAUGGACUGGGCAGUGCAGAAGUGCAGAAGUGGAAGCAGCGGCACAUACAGACUGCAGGACGGUGAGGCUGCGAGUUUGGAAUUCUAUUUCUACUCCUGUUUUUCAGGUUGAAAGGAUGGAAGUGCACCAUGUAAGUAUUCAAGGUCUGGGGACUCCUCUGAGUCAGCCCGUUGUAAACCUAAAAUUAAUUCCUUAACCCUGUGCGUGGCUUCUGCUGAGGGACCGCUGCCCCUCUGCCCAGCGCUGUGUCUGGAAUUCCCUGUGCUCUUUUGGGGUAAGAGUGAAUGGCUCUUAAUAUUUAUGAGUAGUUCUUCCACAUGUGCUGUUUGCCCAUACUGAUGGAAGGAAUGUUCUCUGCUUAUUGUAACUGCUGGCUGCACAGAUUGCAUAGGAUGAAAGAGCAAAACAGCACAGAAGUGCUGGGGGUUUCACUGGGAGGAGCCUGAAUCCCAUACUCAGAGUUCUGCAGGUGCAGCUCCCAGCUAUCUGUCACCUCAUCACAGAUGCACUGUGCAACGAUUUCUGGUCUGCGCUCAGACCGGAAUGGAGCCUUGUGCCUGCCCGUGCCACAAUUUCCCUUCCAUCUCAAGGCCACGGGAAAAUUACAUCAGCUGCUCCUUCCCCUUCAUGUUCAUUCAUCAUUUCCAUAUGGUAACUGUGCCGCGGUGCCAUGUGCUGUGCAGCUCAGCCGCGCUGGGAGCUGCCAACAUUAGAAUCAAUUUUUGCUCUGAACCAGCAAUGAGGAGCUGCUUCCUAUCACGCUGCAAGGAAAUGAGCACUGGCUUGAAAGCAGUUGGUUCUGUAUUCCCAUUCCUCAUAUCUCCUUGGGAUCUCAGAAGGUUUUUUGAUCAUAUUGGACUGGAAGUAUGAGCUUUUGAUGAUUCUCUUUGAAUACCGUUUGGGGGUUACUUUUCUAUGUAUAGCCAAUAGCAUCUUUUAUGAGGUCACAGAAACAUGUUUCUGUAAAUUGACUUUUUUUCAUUUCUACCACAACUGAGCCUGAACGUGAAGAGCUGUGUGACAAUUGCAGAGGUGGAAUGGUGAAGUCUGGCGCAGACCUGACUUUUUAGUUUUCCUGUUGUGUGUCACGAGUCAGCCUAACUAACGUGCAGGUGUCUGGGUCUGUGGCUGGUGGCUGCCCUGGUGAUGCCAAAGAGCUCGGUCCCACAGUUAAUAAAGACCCAGACAUGGGUCGAUGGAGCUCUGCUGUCCCCUCUGAUAAACAGAUCCCUGGGAGCGCAGCACGCUCCUCCUGCUGAGACAGAAAGUGGUUGUGACAGAAAGCUCUUGUGACCCUGAGACAUGACAGUUAGGGAGGUUUCUCAGUUAAUGAGAUUUUUCUCAGCUAACAGCCUGCCUGCUGAGCAGCCGGACCCAGCCCGCCCCUCGCACACUGGUGGCAGUGUCCCUGCCAGGAGGGGACAUCGGGUGUGGGUCUCAGAUCUGCACGGUGCGGCACCAGCUCCACUGCCAGGGACGUGCGUGGUCCUCUCCCAGGUGUGAAGGGGUGGGGGGAGCAGCUCCCCACCAACAACUGCCUACAUACAGAAAUCCAUCCAAACGGGCCUUGGGCGUGAUUUGUUGGGUUCAUGCUUCAGAGACCCUGCAGUAACUAAAACUGUACCUAUGGAAAUAACUCACUUCAGAGAGCCGAAUGCUUCUUGGCUACAGGACAAGCGAGUGCCCAGCUGCAGCUGGUCCCUGUGGGCCAGGGCAGUAGUGCCCAAAGGUCUGUGUGCCUCAGCAGCCAUGGCGGCAGCAGGUGGGGGUGUGCGAGCCCCCAUCACUGGGAUGUGUGUGGUCUGGGCUGGGAGCAUCUCAGGACAGCUGCCCAAGGGCCGGGCUGGGGGUGUCGCUCCCAGCUCCAGAGCCCGGUGCUGGCUGGGGGCUUAUGGGGGGAGCAGUGCCAGUGCUGGGCCGGUUCGUGCUUCUCACCGCUGCCAACAAGCCCGCUUCCCCACAUCACGCAGCGCUGGGAUCCCAGCUCUGUGCUCGCAGCCAGAAUCCCACUGCAGGAGAGGGCACUGUCUGACGCCAAGAACGCGAUUGGCAGUGCCGAGGCGGCGGCUUUCCAAACCAGAAGGUUUCUGAUGCUGUCAUGUGGGAGCUCAGCUCUCCCCCAGCCCUCACUGCUGUCUGUUCCUCUGGAGCGCUCUGGAGGCUGUGCCCGCGGGAGGGAUUGCACUCACAGAUCAGAUGCCACAGCACAGACAGGAGGAUGCUCUGCAAAACACAGAGAAGCAGAGGCAGAAGAUGUAGGGGAAAAAGAAAGAAAUUUGAAUUUGUUACUGGGAGGAGUGAAAUAAACAUGGGAACAUUUCCCAGGA